AUACGUAGGGGGCGAGCGUUGUCCGGAAUUACUGGGUGUAAAGGGAGCGUAGGCGGGAGUGCAAGUCAGAUGUGAAAUACAUGGGCUCAACCCAUGGGCUGCAUUUGAAACUGCAUUUCUUGAGUGAAGUAGAGGUAAGCGGAAUUCCUGGUGUAGCGGUGAAAUGCGUAGAGAUCAGGAGGAACACCGGUGGCGAAGGCGGCUUUCUGGGUGAUUACUGACGCUGAGGCUCGAAAGCGUGGGUAGCAAGCAGGAUUAGAUACCCUGGUAGUCAACGCUGUAAACGAUGAUUACUAGGUGUGGGGGGACUGACCCCUUCCGUGCCGCAGUUAACACAAUAAGUAAUCCACCUGGGGAGUACGGCCGCAAGGUUGAUACUCAAAGGAAUUGACGGGG
This 396-nucleotide ribosomal RNA is filed under the name uncultured bacterium. RNAcentral describes it as "partial 16S ribosomal RNA". It matches the Rfam family "Bacterial small subunit ribosomal RNA", at positions 523 to 918 of the family's 1533-position model. The record is from RNAcentral.